CAGAGCGUGGGCUUUCAAUAGCAUCCAGGUAUGUUGAAUUGAGAGACAACAGAUUCUACAACAGUGCCAAUGUAUGGACUUUCAUUUAAAUUAGGUCAUACUAAAAAGAGUUCAUUCCACUGUUCUAGUUUAUUUAUUUAUUUAUUUAUUUUUACACAGGGAUGAUCUGUUAGGGAGAAGCCAGUCUUAAUUUGAUUCUUAUGUACUCAUACAUGAGCUUGAUUAAAAAUAUCCCAGCAGGUCUUUUCAGAAACUCCAUUAUUUUAACAACCUGAAGUGUGACUUUUAUGGCUUAGAGAGGUGUAUGCUGUGGGUCAUUUGGAAGUUCUAAAGAAAUGCUGUAGCAUCAAACUAUGAGGGUCUCACAAGCUGGCUCAUGAUAAUCUCAGACUCAGGCAUAGAGGAACUGCUUAUCCCCAACUUCUGAGAAGGUUUCACUGAAGACACACUCACCACACCUAACUAGUGGUACUUAUUAGGAGUGCUUCACCUAUUUUUAAGGAAGACUUGACUUCAAUCAGAGCAUCUGAUUGUGCUGUUCAGUAAGGUUCCUGUUCAAGCAGUAAAGCCCUGAUUCCUCUCUGCAUCUCAAGAACUUGACACUGAUGGAGACCCCUUCCCUGAAUUUAUGACACAUGAACUCAUCAUCCUGCUGAGGAUGAUCUCAGACUCAGGAUCUAAGGAUUUCCUUCUUUGCCUUCUCCUGAGAAGCUUUUGAUGAAGACACAGAGCACACAAAUUACACGGGUCUCACAAGAUUGCUCAUGAAAAUUUCAGACUCAGGCAUGGAUGAAGUGCUUCUCCCUAACUUCUGAGAAUUUCAUUGAAGACACACUCACCACACCUAGCUGAAUUACUUCCCAAGCUAUCUCAGACUUUAUGUGGAUGCAGUUGUUCACAUGUUGGGUGCCAUUUUUAAGGAAGCCCAUUCCUCCCCAGUCCUGCCCAGAUCACUGAAGAAGCAGGAUGUGAUCUGUCCUGCUGAAAAAAGAAACAUGAACUCAUCAUCCUGCUGAAGAUGAUCUCAGACUCAGGCACUAAGGUGGUCCUUCUCUGCCUUUUCCAGAGAAGCUUUUGAUAAAGACACAGAUCACACGCCUAGCUGAUGGGCUGUUUGUUUAGACUUAUAAUCUUCAUUUUUCAUCUUACAUCUAUCAAUCACCACCUGUGUUCACCUGUCACUUCAGUGAGGCUCUUGCCUGGCUCACAUAUGGUACAGUGGUACACAACUGUACCAAGAGAGUAACAGUUGGAGACCCCAGCAAGAUCAGGAGUUACAGUUGGAGGACCAUCAGCAAGACUGAGAAGGAGGGGACCCCUGAGAGAUCACCCUUGGAUGCUCACCAGCAGGUACAUAUUGUUUCUACUGUGUGGAAAAUACAUUUGUUUACCCUUCCCUGUCUGUACAUUCCAGUAUUUGAGAUCAAGCAAG
This is a long non-coding RNA of Chionomys nivalis (European snow vole), 1432 nucleotides long. RefSeq lists it as uncharacterized. NCBI's taxonomy places the organism in Eukaryota, Metazoa, Chordata, Mammalia, Rodentia, Cricetidae. The record is from RefSeq and is a predicted model, not a curated record. The transcript is spliced from 11 exons.